This 1182-nucleotide ribosomal RNA is filed under the name Triticum aestivum (bread wheat). RNAcentral's name for it is "partial small subunit ribosomal RNA". Lineage: Eukaryota; Viridiplantae; Streptophyta; Magnoliopsida; Poales; Poaceae. The record is from RNAcentral.
AUGGCCGAGAUGGUGGUAAGCAUGGCGAGGUCCAUGCUGGGGGGCGCCAUCAGCAAGGCCGCUUCUGCCGCGGCCGCCGAGCUGAGCUUGGUGAUGGGUGUGCAGAAGGAUAUCUGGUUCAUCAAAGACGAGCUAAAGACGAUGCAGGCAUUCUUGGGAGGUGCUGAAGCAACGAAGAAUAGAGACAUGCUGCUGAAGGUGUGGGCAGAGCAAGUAAGGGAUCUGUCCUACAAUAUCGAAGAUUGCCUUGAUGAAUUUAUGGUCCAUGUGAGGAGUCAAAGCCUGAGGAAACGUCUUAUGAAGCUCAAAGAUCGUCGUAGGAUUGCUAUCCAAAUUCGCAACCUGAAAACAAGAGUUGAAGAAGUGAGCAGCAGGAAUGCACGCUACAAUUUGAUCAAGAUAGAGGCCUCAAUGACCAGUGAUAAGGAGGUUUCUUGCAUAGAAGAUGUACGUAAUCACUCGGCAAGCAACACUGAUGAAGCAGAACUUGUGGGCUUUAGGAAGCCUAGAGAGGAGUUGAUUAAGCUGAUGGAUGUCAACACUAGAGAUGGUGAUGCCAAAGUUAUAUGUGUCGUCGGCAUGGGCGGUUUAGGCAAGACUACUCUAGCAAGAAAAAACUUACGAAAGCAACUUCUCGGUGGAGAUUCGCUGAAGAACUUGUUGAAAGAACUUGAAGGGAAGGUGGUACAAGCAAAGGACCUCGCCGAGUACCUCAAUAAGGAGAUUAAGGAUAAGAGGUACCUUAUUAUUCUUGAUGACUUGUGGACAAUAGAUAUAUGGAGGUGGAUUAAAGAUAUUGUUUUUCCUAAUAGUAACAAGAAAGGUAGUCGGAUAAUAGUAACAACACGUGAUGUUGGCUUAGCAAAGGAAUGUACUAUUGAAUCCCUUGUCUACCACCUUAAAACCUUGGAGGUAGUCGAGGCCACAAAUUUGCUACUAAAAAAGAGUAGGAAAAUAUAUGAAGACAUGGACAAAGAUGAAAACUUCAAGAGCAUAGUUGAAAAACUAGUUAAAAAGUGUGGUUGUUUACCACUGGCCAUACUUGCAAUUGGAGGGAUCCUUGCCACUAAAAAGAUAGUAGAGUGGGAGCACGUCUAUAACCAACUCCCAUCUGAGCUUGAGAGUAACCCAAGCCUUGAAGCUAUGAAGAUGAUGGUUACUUUGAGUUUUUCAGUUAAUUAG